UCAAUUCAGGACCAGUAUGCUUUGCAUGAC
Molecule: non-coding RNA, 30 nt
Filed under: Homo sapiens (human)
Lineage: Eukaryota; Metazoa; Chordata; Mammalia; Primates; Hominidae
Source: RNAcentral